GAUGAACGCUAGCGGCAGGCUUAAUACAUGCAAAUCGAGGGGCAGCAGGUUCCGUAGCAAUACGGAAUGCUGGCGACCGGCAAACGGGUGCGGAACACGUACACAACCUUCCUUUAAGUGGGGAAUAGCCCGGGGAAACCCGGAUUAAUACCCCGUAACAUUAUGAUGUGGCAUCACAUUAUAAUUAAAGCUACGGCGCU
RNAcentral lists this ribosomal RNA (200 nucleotides) under uncultured bacterium. RNAcentral describes it as "partial 16S ribosomal RNA". It matches the Rfam family "Bacterial small subunit ribosomal RNA", at positions 28 to 219 of the family's 1533-position model. The record is from RNAcentral.